This is a non-coding RNA of Vigna umbellata (rice bean), 650 nucleotides long. The record is from RefSeq and is a predicted model, not a curated record. NCBI's taxonomy places the organism in Eukaryota, Viridiplantae, Streptophyta, Magnoliopsida, Fabales, Fabaceae.
UCUCGUUUUUCAUCUUCUCCACUAUGGUUGUCGUUCCCCAACAACAUUUUCUCCUUCGCUGCUUGUUUGCAUCUUCUCCACUAUAACUCUCGCUCCCAACCUUAAUUUCGCUUUCACCGCUAGUUCAUUUUGCAUUUUUCAUCUUCUGAAAAUGCACCCAACCCUAGUUUCGUCUUCACCGCUGGUUCAUUUGGCAUUUUGCAUCUUCCGAAAACGUAGAAAGGGUGAAAAAACAUCAUUUAGAUCCUAAUAUUAAUGUUCCCCACUUCUCUUUUCCAUCCAGAAAUCUUGUUGCAGAAGUUAGGAAAAAAUGGUUGCCUUGGACACUUUUUUCGUCGUUCUCUGGAUUUGACUAUUGUUUUAUCAACACUUCUACUUGUGAUAUCUAUGAAUAAUGACGGCAAAUAUCAAUCAGAUUUCUCUGUGGGACUAAAGGUAAUACUAGAAACUUCAUUGUAAUUGAUGGAAGUAUGGGAGAAACUUUGUUGGAAGGAGUUGUUAAGAGACAAGUAUAAGAGCAUAAAGUUGAGGAGUUUAAUGCCAUGGGAAAGGGAAGCGUAACCAGAAGCUGGUCUUGCACGCUGGUGGAAAAUUUGGUGGUGCCAACAGUGGGUACUCUUUCUCAGGAGGUUUGCACGGUGUCCCAGUUG